GGCGGCGUGCUUAACACAUGCAAGUCGAACGAGNUCCAACCUUCGGGUGAAGACCGAGUGGCGAACGGGUGAGUAACACGUGGGGAACCUGCCCUUCUCUCUGGGAUAACUCCGGGAAACCGGAGCUAAUACCGGAUACUCCUUGCGGACCGCAUGGUCUGCUCGGGAAAGCUCCGGCGGAGAAGGAUGGCCCCGCGGCCCAUUAGCUUGUUGGUGGGGUAACGGCCCACCAAGGCGACGAUGGGUAGCCGAGCUGAGAGGCUGAUCGGCCACACUGGGACUGAGACACGGCCCAGACUCCUACGGGAGGCAGCAGUGGGGAAUCUUGCGCAAUGGGCGAAAGCCUGACGCAGCAACGCCGCGUGCGGGAUGAAGGCUCUCGGGUCGUAAACCGCUUUCAGCAGGGAUGAAAAUGACAGUACCUGCAGAAGAAGCCCCGGCUAAAUACGUGCCAGCAGCCGCGGUAAUACGUAUGGGGCAAGCGUUAUCCGGAUUCAUUGGGCGUAAAGCGCGCGUAGGCGGCUUGUUAAGUCAGGCGUGAAAUCCGGGGGCUCAACCCGCGGCUUGCGUCUGAAACUGGCAGGCUUGAGUCUGGUAGAGGAAAGUGGAAUUCCUGGUGUAGCGGUGAAAUGCGCAGAUAUCAGGAGGAACACCAGUGGCGAAGGCGGCUUUCUGGGCCACGACUGACGCUGAGGCGCGAAAGCUAGGGGAGCGAACAGGAUUAGAUACCCUGGUAGUCCUAGCCGUAAACGAUGGGCACUAGGUGUGGGGGGUCAUCGACUCCCUCCGUGCCGAAGCUAACGCAUUAAGUGCCCCGCCUGGGGAGUACGGCCGCAAGGCUAAAACU
Molecule: ribosomal RNA, 847 nt
Filed under: uncultured Actinomycetes bacterium
Lineage: Bacteria; Bacillati; Actinomycetota; Actinomycetes
Description: bacterial SSU rRNA
Rfam family: Bacterial small subunit ribosomal RNA
Source: RNAcentral